This 452-nucleotide ribosomal RNA is filed under the name uncultured archaeon. Its description in RNAcentral is "bacterial SSU rRNA". It matches the Rfam family "Archaeal small subunit ribosomal RNA", at positions 44 to 473 of the family's 1478-position model. The record is from RNAcentral.
CUAAGACAUGCGAGUCGAGCGUCUCUAGCUAUGUUGAGACGCGGCAGACGGCUCAGUAACACGUGGCUAACCUACCCUCAGGACAAGUACAAACCCGGGAAACUGGGGCUAAUACUCGAUAGGCGAAGGCGCCUGGAAUGGUUCUUCACCCAAAGGGCUUUAGAAACAUGCUUCUAGAGUCGCCUGGGGAUGGGGCCGCGUCCGAUCAGGUUGUUGGUGAGGUAACGGCUCACCAAGCCUAUAACCGGUACGGGCCGUGAGAGCGGUAGCCCGGAGAUGGGUACUGAGACAAGGACCCAGGCCCUACGGGGCGCAGCAGUCGCGAAAACUCCGCAAUGCACGAAAGUGUGACGGGGCUACCCCGAGUGCCGUCCGCUGAGGAUGGCUUUUCCUUGGUGUAACUAGCCGGGGGAAUAAGGAGANGGGCAGACUGGUGUCAGCCGCCGCGGUAA